GCUGGCGGCGUGCCUAAUACAUGCAAGUCGAGCGGAUCUACUUUGAAAGCUUGCUUUCAAAGUGGGUUAGCGGCGGACGGGUGAGUAACACGUAGGCAACCUGCCCCUUAGACUGGGAUAACUACCGGAAACGGUAGCUAAUACCGGAUAAUUUCUUUCUUCGCCUGAAGGAAGAAUGAAAGACGGAGCAAUCUGUCACUAAGGGAUGGGCCUGCGGCGCAUUAGCUAGUUGGUGAGGUAACGGCUCACCAAGGCGACGAUGCGUAGCCGACCUGAGAGGGUGAACGGCCACACUGGGACUGAGACACGGCCCAGACUCCUACGGGAGGCAGCAGUAGGGAAUCUUCCGCAAUGGGCGAAAGCCUGACGGAGCAACGCCGCGUGAGUGAUGAAGGUUUUCGGAUCGUAAAGCUCUGUUGCCAGGGAAGAACGUCCGGUAGAGUAACUGCUACCGGAGUGACGGUACCUGAGAAGAAAGCCCCGGCUAACUACGUGCCAGCAGCCGCGGUAAUACGUAGGGGGCAAGCGUUGUCCGGAAUUAUUGGGCGUAAAGCGCGCGCAGGCGGCUAUUUAAGUCUGGUGUUUAAACCUUGGGCUCAACCUGGGGUCGCACUGGAAACUGGAUGGCUUGAGUACAGAAGAGGAAAGUGGAAUUCCACGUGUAGCGGUGAAAUGCGUAGAUAUGUGGAGGAACACCAGUGGCGAAGGCGACUUUCUGGGCUGUAACUGACGCUGAGGCGCGAAAGCGUGGGGAGCAAACAGGAUUAGAUACCCCCGUAGUCC
Molecule: ribosomal RNA, 783 nt
Filed under: uncultured bacterium
Lineage: Bacteria
Description: bacterial SSU rRNA
Rfam family: Bacterial small subunit ribosomal RNA
Source: RNAcentral